GAAAUGCGAUAAGUAAUGUGAAUUGCAGAAUUCAGUGAAUCAUCGAAUCUUUGAACGCACCUUGCGCUCCUUGGUAUUCCUUGGAGCAUGCCUGUUUGAGUAUCAUGAAAUCUUCAAAGUAAAUCUUUUGUUAACUCAAUUGGUUUCUACUUUGGUAUUGGAGGUCUUUGCAGCUUCACACCUGCUCCUCUUUGUUCAUUAGCUGGAUCUCAGUGUUAUGCUUGGUUCCACUCGGCGUGAUAAGUUAUCUAUCGCUGAGGACACUGUAAAAGGUGGCCAAGGUAAAUGCAGAUGAACCGUUUCUAAUAGUCCAUUGACUUGGACAAUACUUUUAUGAUCUGAUCUCAAAUCAGGUAGGACUACCCGCUGAACUUAAGC
RNAcentral lists this unclassified non-coding RNA (378 nucleotides) under plant metagenome. RNAcentral's name for it is "partial contains 5.8S ribosomal RNA, internal transcribed spacer 2, and large subunit ribosomal RNA". The stretch from base 1 to 105 matches the Rfam family "5.8S ribosomal RNA", at positions 50 to 154 of the family's 154-position model. The record is from RNAcentral.